GUAGGUGGCAAGCGUUGUCCGGAAUUAUUGGGCGUAAAGCGCGCGCAGACGGUUCUUUAAGUCUGAUGUGAAAGCCCACGGCUCAACCGUGGGGGGUCAUUGGAAACUGGAGAACUUGAGUACAGAAGAGGAAAGCGGAAUUCCACGUGUAGCGGUGAAAUGCGUAGAGAUGUGGAGGAACACCAGUGGCGAAGGCGGCUUUCUGGUCUGUAACUGACGCUGAGGCGCGAAAGCGUGGGGAGCAAACAGGGAUUAGAUACCCUGGUAGUCCACGCCGUAAACGAUGAGUGCUAAGUGUUAGGGGGUUUCCGCCCCCUUAGUGCUGCAGCUAACGCAUUAAGCACUCCGCCUGGGGAGUACGGCCGCAAGGCUG
This 373-nucleotide ribosomal RNA is filed under the name uncultured organism. RNAcentral describes it as "partial 16S ribosomal RNA". It matches the Rfam family "Bacterial small subunit ribosomal RNA", at positions 527 to 896 of the family's 1533-position model. The record is from RNAcentral.